This 71-nucleotide transfer RNA is filed under the name Bos taurus (domestic cattle). It matches the Rfam family "tRNA". Rfam says of the family: Transfer RNA (tRNA) molecules are approximately 80 nucleotides in length. Their secondary structure includes four short double-helical elements and three loops (D, anti-codon, and T loops). Lineage: Eukaryota; Metazoa; Chordata; Mammalia; Artiodactyla; Bovidae. RNAcentral also lists the same sequence under 5 other names. The record is from Rfam by way of RNAcentral.
CCCCGGCAGUCCAGUGGUUAAGACUCUGCCCUUCCAAUGCAGAGAACGAGGGUUCGAUCCCUUGUCAGGGG